GUCGCCGCCAAAUCGGCGACCGGGUUUUGCAGCCCGAAUCCAGAGGCGCACAAGCGCCCAUCGCACGAUGUAUGGCGCUUUUUGU
Molecule: small RNA, 85 nt
Filed under: Xanthomonas citri pv. aurantifolii
Lineage: Bacteria; Pseudomonadati; Pseudomonadota; Gammaproteobacteria; Lysobacterales; Lysobacteraceae
Description: isrK
Rfam family: isrK Hfq binding RNA
Source: RNAcentral